UACGUAGGGCGCAAGCGUUGUCCGGAAUUAUUGGGCGUAAAGAGCGUGUAGGCGGCCAGGUAGGUCUGCUGUGAAAACUCGAGGCUUAACCUCGAGCUGUCGGCGGAAACCAUCUGGCUAGAGUCCGGAAGAGGAGAAUGGAAUUCCCGGUGUAGCGGUGAAAUGCGCAGAUAUCGGGAAGAACACCCGUGGCGAAGGCGGUUCUCUGGGACGGUACUGACGCUGAGACGCGAAAGCGUGGGGAGCGAACAGG
Molecule: ribosomal RNA, 253 nt
Filed under: uncultured bacterium
Lineage: Bacteria
Description: partial 16S ribosomal RNA
Rfam family: Bacterial small subunit ribosomal RNA
Source: RNAcentral